UCUUGCGUUUAUUAUAACUACCCAGUACGGAAUUAAUAAUGACGUAUUUUGUACAUGUAGGGAAUUCAUACCACGGUUACUAAUGUCCCAAGACAUUUUAAGAAUAGAAAUUUAUCAAGCAGAACGAUUGAAUUCUUGUGGAGAUAAGCCACGUUGAGCUGGAGAGAAGUGUUUGUGAAGUGAAUAAUAAAAAGAUAACUAACAGUGGCUGCGUAAAAAAGAUAAAAAAAAUAAACUAACAUUGGUUGGGUAGAAGUUUGAACUAGUCGAUAUUUGAUUUAGCAGCAGUGGGAUCCCAGUAGAGGUGGAAAUUGAGGAUACUGGAUUGCUAUAAAAGUAUAAAACAGAUAAAAUAUUCGUGAUAUGAAAGGUCUGAUCAGAGUG
Molecule: long non-coding RNA, 384 nt
Organism: Hydractinia symbiolongicarpus
Lineage: Eukaryota; Metazoa; Cnidaria; Hydrozoa; Anthoathecata; Hydractiniidae
Exons: 3
Source: RefSeq, a predicted model, not a curated record